This 392-nucleotide ribosomal RNA is filed under the name uncultured bacterium. RNAcentral's name for it is "bacterial SSU rRNA". It matches the Rfam family "Bacterial small subunit ribosomal RNA", at positions 30 to 429 of the family's 1533-position model. The record is from RNAcentral.
AUUGAACGCUGGCGGCAUGCCUUACACAUGCAAGUCGAACGGCAGCGGACCUUCGGGUGCCGGCGAGUGGCGAACGGGUGAGUAAUAUAUCGGAACGUACCUUUCAGUGGGGGAUAACGUAGCGAAAGUUACGCUAAUACCGCAUAUUCUGUGAGCAGGAAAGCAGGGGAUCGCAAGACCUUGCGCUGAUUGAGCGGCCGAUAUCAGAUUAGCUAGUUGGUGAGGUAAAGGCUCACCAAGGCGACGAUCUGUAGCGGGUCUGAGAGGAUGAUCCGCCACACUGGAACUGAGACACGGUCCAGACUCCUACGGGAGGCAGCAGUGGGGAAUUUGGACAAUGGGCGCAAGCCUGAUCCAGCCAUGCCGCGUGAGUGAAGAAGGCCUGGUGUAAG